RNAcentral lists this ribosomal RNA (253 nucleotides) under uncultured bacterium. Its description in RNAcentral is "partial 16S ribosomal RNA". It matches the Rfam family "Bacterial small subunit ribosomal RNA", at positions 524 to 776 of the family's 1533-position model. The record is from RNAcentral.
UACGAAGGGGGCUAGCGUUGCUCGGAAUCACUGGGCGUAAAGCGCACGUAGGCGGACUCUUAAGUCGGUGGUGAAAUCCUGGAGCUCAACUCCAGAACUGCCUUUAAUACUGGCAAUCUCGAGUCCGAGAGAGGUGAGUGGAAUUCCGAGUGUAGAGGUGAAAUUCGUAGAUAUUCGGAGGAACACCAGUGGCGAAGGCGGCUCACUGGCUCGGUACUGACGCUGAGGUGCGAAAGCGUGGGGAGCAAACAGG